UGCGGCCCCUUUUCUUUACCUCGCAGGCCCGGUACUGUCCUAGUUGGAGGCUGUCCUGCGUCUUGCACCGCUUCUCUUUUUCGAUUUGAGGCUGGAGGUCCGUCUGGAUCUGUCCAUGGCGACUCCCGCAGCGACGGCACCGGCGUUGGCCUCUGGAUCGAUGGGGACGGCAAGCGAUUCCGUGGUACGCGGCGUGCCGUUCGUUUCCGGCAUCGCCGGUCCCGCCGUGGCCGACUCUGUCGUAGGCGUAGAGUCGCCGGAGACACCAGCGGUGAAUUAGGUCCCGCCGGCUCGCGGUCUGGUUGGCGACCUGUCUGAUGUCGAGCUGUCGGGCGAGUCCCGCACGACGUUGCGUCGGCUGGCGGAGGUGUGGCGUCGGCAGGCGCCUUUGUUUUGUUUUUCGGCUGAAAAAAGUGGAUUUCGGUCGAAUUUCGGCCAUCUCGGCCUGGGGCGAAAAGUAUUUUUAAACCGAAAUUGCUUAAAUUUGGUAAAUUUUGAUUAAAUUUAAGUCAAAUUGUAGUCAAAUUUCAGCCGAAGAUUUUAAAAAUGGCCGAAAUUCAGCCAUCUCGACCUAGGGCAAAAAAAUCUCAAACCGAAAAUCAAAACACAGGCAGGCGCCGGUGACAGGGCGCGCAUCGUUGACUCGUGCAGCGCAGUUUAGUCCUUCAGCCGCAGUGCUCCGGCGGCCGCGAGCACUACUAUCUGCGUUGGCUGGAAGCGCGGGUAGCCCCUCCAUCUUGGUUGACUGAGACGAGCACUUUUUUCUCUUUCUUUUCUGAAUGGGUGCUUAGAGCUACAACUAAUCUCUGCCACACUACCAAAGUAGUUCUCGCUUGAUUUAUUUUCAGGGGAACCCCAUGAAUUGCUACAACUAGUAAGUACUAUUGCUAUUGCAGGAGUAGGAUUCUCUGGACGAUUUUUUCAUAUGAAAUCGCUGGCAGAGGCGUACGAAUUCUACAAUUUGUAUUCAUGGGAGGUGAGCAGGCAGAAUGUCAACGGGACCAAAUGCAUGUAGGAGAUCGUGUGCGGCUGCGCCGUGAGUCCCUUUUUCUCUUUUCAGUUUUGUGUUGGGUGCGAUUGUGCGAUUUUGUUAUGUGCAAAGGAACUGAAGUAGUUGUCAAAUUUUAUGAUUUGAAAACAAGUGCAGGGUAAACCAAAGAGGAAGAACAGUUCAUCGUUGAGGAACAAUUGCGUCGCCAUGAUUUGUCUACACCGGACAGAUGAUGUGGGGUGGUAUAUAUGCCUCGGAAAAUCAUGCUUCUCACAAACAUGAUCUGCUUAGGCUGGCCAUAGUGGGGUAACAUACAUUUGGGACUAGCAAACAUGCUUAUGUGACACAUAAUUAAAAAAGAGAGGGAGGAUUAGAGUAACAUAGGUAGAUACCGUAUCUCUACUCUUAAUGAAGCAGUUGGUAGUCUUCGCCGGUCAAUUUUCGUCCCACCACUUUCGUCCGGUUUUUUUUCGCCGGUUAACCUUCGUAGAUUUUUUUGGUUCCGUCCACCACCUCCCCUCCGCUGGUUUUAGCGUCGCGACAGAACCAAUCGCUAGCCCUACCACCUCUCCCGUCUCCAGUCGCAGCCGCCGCUGCCGCCGCACCCCAAUCCAACCCCGCCGCCGGCGAUCUCCUCGCCCCCCUGUGCCGUCGCCCCCAACCUUCUAUUCCUCUCCCAAGGGAAGGGAAGGGAAGGCAAGGCAAGGGAAGGGAGAGGGAGCGCCCAGAUCCACGGCGGCAUCAGCGCGCCGUCCUCGACCUGAUCCGCGUCCGUCCACGGAUGGGAGCUAAUCGGCGCAGGAAAUCCCCGUCCCCGCGUCCGAGCCCCGCCACCCUCCGCAACGGCUCGACCGCCCAUCGACGCGCUGCCCCCGCGGCGCCCGACUAGUUCGGCUCUCGCGGCUGGUGGACGCGCCCUUGCUGUUGCCGACGCCGGCUCGCUGCGCCGCACUGGCCCUCACAAGCGUCUUCUGUCAAUGAUGGACUUGAGAGGUCAAGGAGUUUCCAUUGGGACAUCGGGACAUGCUCCUCCAUCUCCUCCGGUGGACGACAUCCAACAUCGCCAGGUAGAUUACUGUUUUUGCAAAUUCCAGUUCUUGAUGUUUAAAACUGGAUGAUCUGCACCCAACCCCUCUAUUGUUCUAUUUCUGCUUAAAUCUGAUUUGGUUGUUCAGUUCAUGCACUUAUGGACUGAAGAAAAAAAAUGGAAAUGAAGAAGAAAAGAAUAGCAAUAUUAUCAUAUGCGAGGUUUGCUUUUAACCUUGGUUCCUAACCAAUAUUUGCUUCAUAAUUCUGCCGAGAGAUUCACACUGUCAUUCAUAUUAUGAAUAUAGUUCAUAACCAGUAUUCUCUUUUAUCUAAUUAUAUGUACAGAAAGGAGUAAUCUGAAGUGAAUUCAUGCUAUGUUAACAGUCUAACAAACAUCUUGGAGGUGUGAAUGCUUUCUUGGGUCUGACAAGUAAUCAAUAAUUGAUGGUAUACUGGGAUUUUUCUCAUACUUCUAGCACUUCCUCAUUGACAAUAAAGCAAGUAGUAUCACAACAAAGGCUAUCCAGGUAUUUUUUUUCAACUAUAAUCCUUCCAGCUUUAGGGACUGCUCAAUUGGAUCUGCACAAUCCAACAAAAUAAAUGUGCAUAGUGUCUGCGACACUUUCAUCCGAUCAUCACGAAGGUAGUUGUAGGAGUAAAAAAGUAUGUCAUACUGUUUUUUCAGUUCAAGCCAAAAGGCUAGGACAGGUAAUACUUGUUUUUACAGUACUUGUGCAAAAAGUAUGUCAUACUGUUUGCUCUAGAUGAUUUUGAUGAAUUUUACAACCUUAUUUUCAGUUGUUUACCCCAAGAAAUGGUCUGCUUUCAUGGGGUUUAUUGAAUCCAGGAAAGAACUGUGAGUAGUAGCGAACCAGACAUGAAAAGUUUCAGAGAACUACGAAAACUCCGGUCAGUUUUGUCGGGAUCUUGUGACACAGUUCCAGGACUCUAUUGACUAAGGAAAUGAUAUAUAUGUGUGAUUUAUCCUGUUAAAACUUUUAGUGUUCACUUAGGGGUGAGUGCAACCAGUAACUGAAUUUAGACUACGAACUAGAGUAUGACAGUAAAGUCAGGAGCAUGAUGGAGAACACACGGGACAUUGAGGACUAAUGGUCAACACUUAAAUCUUGCUUUACAUACAGUUCAGUUCCAAGUAGUCUGAUACAUAGAUGGCGAGGGGAGUGCUGAUUUGGGGUUGAUUUUGGUAAUUAUAUAUUUUCCUUGAUGACUGUCAUUUUGUUGUCCUACAUGUGCUAUAUGAUAUGCAUAACAACUUGAGAGCACCUUUGCUUCUCUUGAUGUGCUUCGUCAUACAGUUUUUUAAAGUGCACAAGCAAGCUUGCGAGUGAUGACAACUACUAUGACCUACAACCUUGAAUCUAGGUUUUUGGGGUUGAACAUAGGGGCACAGCGCGCUCUCCCAUCUAACCAGUGAAGCGUAAUGAAGGAAAAGCUACAAUAUACAAAUCGUCACCGUCAUUCAGUUUGUCCAAAACUGAGAAAAGCUCUUUAAAAAAACUGGGAAAAGCUCACGUGAUGGAAUGAGAUGAGAUUUCAACAUCAUGAUUGCGUUUUAUAAUUUGAACGACCAAAGUAGAUGGUCCCGUCAGCCCGUGUUUGACAAUAUGAAGGGACAAACUUGUUGAUCCAUUAUUUUGCCAGGAAAAUACAAUAAUUCGGAGGGCUUAAAUAUGGAUAAUAGAUCUGACAUAAUCUAGCAAGGUGAGUGACUCAAUUGCACAUGUGCAAAAUGGAAGUUUAAACUUCCUUGAAUCUCUUGUAGGGUUUGGGGGAGAUUGUCAGCGAGCCACUGAUGAAAGUCCUUUUGCGAUGACAAUGCUAGAGAAGAUUUGAAAGAUCUUGGUUGGCGUGGGGCAACUUGUGUAUUCCUGGAUGGGGGCGCCGUCCGGUGGCAGUGGGGUGUGGCAGUUGCCGCAGCUGGGCACAACCGGGAGUCCACCUAUCCAGAACACCCAACUAUUUCAUCCGGUGAACUGCGAAGAGCUUCUGUAAUUAGCACAAAUCUGAAAGCAUAUAUGCAGCUCCCAGAUGUUGCAGGCUAGAGGAAGGGCAGGCACUCAUGCGAUACCAUGUAUCUGGUAGUGGUUUCGUUCCCCAGACGCUAUGCAUUUAUUGUCUGGUUGGACGCGCCGGGUGUGGGGACACUGCAGGACAUGUUUGAUUAUCAUGUCAGUGAAUUCUGGCGAGAAUGAACCAAGUGAGCUUUUGUAGCUGGUCUAUUCAAAAUGGAUGAACGGACCAGUUAGUGUACAUAUAAGUUUGCACUCUGUCUUCCUGCUCAUUCGUGCAAUGUGUUCAUGGGAGACUUAUUUUAGGAAAACAUAAAAUAAUUUUUCUUUCUGUGCGUACUACUCCAGCUUUCAAGUGCCAGGCUUCAAUAAAUCUGAAAUUUCUAUCGCUC
Long non-coding RNA from Triticum aestivum (bread wheat), 4442 nucleotides. RefSeq lists it as uncharacterized. The transcript is spliced from 5 exons. The record is from RefSeq and is a predicted model, not a curated record. NCBI's taxonomy places the organism in Eukaryota, Viridiplantae, Streptophyta, Magnoliopsida, Poales, Poaceae.